This 1545-nucleotide long non-coding RNA is filed under the name Equus caballus (horse). RNAcentral describes it as "lncRNA (ENSECAG00000060354.1)". The record is from RNAcentral. Lineage: Eukaryota; Metazoa; Chordata; Mammalia; Perissodactyla; Equidae.
UUUUCUUUUUGAUUGUUUGCUCUUCUUUUCCAUUUUUCAGCUUCUUGUGAAAGAAGCUUUGUGCCUCCCUGAAGAUGAGAAUAUUCAUCUAAAGCAUCUUUUAGUGCUGUCUGAAGUUGUUCAUCAUUCUUGUGAUGUAUUUUGAAGGCAAUUUUGGUUUUUUUGCUACUUGAAAUUGAAUGUUAAGAUAAACCUUUUAAAUUCUGAAUCUUUCUUGUAAUGUCAUCCAUUAGAUUACUUUGUUAUAAAUAUUUAGAUUUAAUCUCUUUGAAAAGUCUAUUAAGCCCAAGUGAAAAUUUGGAGCUUCCCAGGUCUUUAUUAGUGACCUCCAGUUACUGUAUUUCUGAUAACUUAUUCUCGUCUGACUUGCAUUACAGUGGACUCAAGGUCUCCUCCAAAUUCCUUUUUAAUCAGGGUAAGAGUUUCGAAAACCUGAUGGCUUUCCACUGGAAAGACAGUAUUCUAGUGGCUGGUGUGUUUCUACUUAAGCAACAAUUUUUUAACAACAACAAUAAUUAAAAAACUAUGACUGUAUGUACUGCCAUUUUUCAUAGCAAUCUGUGGGUACCUGGGCCUGAUCUGUGAUCUGCUAACAGUGCUUCUAUCACCUGGCACAGCAUCCAGCAUCUCCAGGAUCAUUGCAACGCAACAUCAUGGCCAUCAGUGGGUACUUCAUGGUCCUCAAGGUCACUCUGAGUUGCCUCAGAUUUGGUAAGACUGUGCUAGUCACAACAGACUGCAGAAAACACUGGUGUCUUCUCCUUGGAGCUUAUAGGAUUGCAUUAGAAGUGAGCUGAGGUCCCCCAGUGAAGGUGGUUGUCAUGUAGUGGAAGUAAGAGGACCUGUGUUUGAAAUCUCUCUGGCAGUUGUACAUUGUGCUAAUGUAGGUAUGUAGACUGCUUACUUGUAGCCUCUGUUCUAUAGCCCUAUACUAAAAAACAGGGAUGAAAACAUAUAUAGUAUAGCUGACAAAUGGACAAGGACUUAUUACAUUUUAUGUCGUAUCUGUAGUUGCAGAUUUGGGAGGUAGAAGGUGGUCAAUAAAUGUUUGAAUGGCAAUGUGCUUUGAAAAUCAUAAAUCAACGUUAAAAUGUAACGUAUUUAUUACUCUGUGAAGGCAGUGACUAAGUUUUGUAACUCUUUGUACAGCUCACAGUGCCUUUUACAUGUCAAGUGUAGGAGCAAAGGAGUACAGUAGAAAGAUCACAGGUUUAGGGAUUAAACAUGCCUGGGUUUGAAUCCCAACUUUGUCCCAAAUCUAUCAAAUUACUUACUGUUUUAAGCCUCCAUUUUCUUCAUAAAAUGGGGAGGCCGUAACUCAUAGAGUUGUUGUGAGAUCUAAAUCAAAGAACAUAAACUGCCUAGCAAAAUUUCUGGCUUAUUUGGAAAGCACAUUAAAUGAUAGUCUUUUCCUGUAUUUAAUGAAUGAAAAAUAACUGUCCUAUUCAAAUAUAGAUGUGAAUGAUCCCCAAAUCAAGUAUUAUUUAGUUAUGUAUUGUAUAUAUAAGUGUUAUGAUAAAAUUAUUAUUGUUAAAAACAUUCUGG